RNAcentral lists this ribosomal RNA (163 nucleotides) under Amaranthus hybridus (smooth pigweed). RNAcentral's name for it is "5.8S ribosomal RNA". It matches the Rfam family "5.8S ribosomal RNA". From Rfam's summary of the family: 5.8S ribosomal RNA (5.8S rRNA) is a component of the large subunit of the eukaryotic ribosome. It is transcribed by RNA polymerase I as part of the 45S precursor that also contains 18S and 28S rRNA. Lineage: Eukaryota; Viridiplantae; Streptophyta; Magnoliopsida; Caryophyllales; Amaranthaceae. RNAcentral also lists the same sequence under 6 other names. The record is from RNAcentral.
UAAACGACUCUCGGCAACGGAUAUCUUGGCUCUCGCAUCGAUGAAGAACGUAGCGAAAUGCGAUACUUGGUGUGAAUUGCAGAAUCCCGUGAACCAUCGAGUUUUUGAACGCAAGUUGCGCCCGAAGCCUUCNGGCCAGGGCACGUCUGCCUGGGCGUCACGC